CAAGUCAAUGAAUGUGUUUGUAGAUAGAUGUUUUUGUGUUCUGUUAAAUUGUCCCUUUUAAAAUUGUUAUACGAUGAUGACUGAUGUACCCAUAUUUUGACUAUUUAUUUAUUGUGUCUGUUUAGUUAACGCAUCAAUGUAAAUAUAACAGAAUUUGAUGAGACUGUCAUCAAAGUGAGAGGGUUAGCGCUAUAAAACCAGGUUUAAUCCACCAUUUUCUACAUUUGAAAAUGCCUGUACCAAGUCAGGAAUAUGACAGUUCUUG
This 265-nucleotide long non-coding RNA is filed under the name Mytilus galloprovincialis (Mediterranean mussel). Lineage: Eukaryota; Metazoa; Mollusca; Bivalvia; Mytilida; Mytilidae. The record is from RNAcentral.